UUGAAAGGGAAACGAUUGAAGUCAGUCGUACCGACGAGAAAUCAGCUUAUCGUGUGUUAACUUGUGGGCGUGCGUGAGUUUCGGCCUCGCUGUUUGCAUGUUUGUGCGCUUUGGGUGUACUUUUUCGUAUGGUUGGCCAACAUCAGUUUCGAUUACUAUAAAAUGACUGGCGGAAUGUAGCUUCGAUUUCGGUUGAAGUGUUAUAGCCUCUGGUAGAUGUGGUGAUUGGGACUGAGGAUUGCAACGAAUAUCCUUUGGGCUAUCCGUCUGGCCUCUGAAAGUUGCUUGGGUGCUGAAGGCUUGCUUAUGGUUAUCUAAGUUAACGGUCAAUAGGUUAGAACGUGAUUACAUUCGUUAAGGAUGUUGACGUA
This 371-nucleotide ribosomal RNA is filed under the name uncultured Glomeromycotina. RNAcentral describes it as "LSU rRNA". Lineage: Eukaryota; Fungi; Glomeromycota. The record is from RNAcentral.